Molecule: non-coding RNA, 2453 nt
Organism: Leptonychotes weddellii (Weddell seal)
Lineage: Eukaryota; Metazoa; Chordata; Mammalia; Carnivora; Phocidae
Source: RefSeq, a predicted model, not a curated record
CCUGCAGAGCUGCACUGCUCGAGUGAACUCCAGCUGGAGAAUCUCAGGUCACUGGAGUCUGGAAACAGCAGGGCAAAGAAGGUGUUCUGAAGGGUUGAAAGAAAAGGCUGGCCCUCAUGCUAUUGCAGCCAGCUUGAAAGACUAGAAGUAAAUGAAAACCAUGAUCUCUGGACAGAGGCAUCAUCAUCCUAGAUCUUGAGGAAUCCUCAUAUUUUUCACGGGCUUUUAGCAGCGUACAAUAAGAUAAUCCAAACAAGAAAACAAGGCAGGAACCAAUGGAAAGCUCCCUGAUCAUUCAGAGUGGUUUUUAUAUUUAAAGAAAUAAGGCAAUCUUAUGUAUCUGGAGAGAAGAAACUAAACAGGUGGUGUAGGUUAAUAGAAUUUCUAAAAAUGAAAUAUAAUAACCAAAAGGUGGGAAUCCAAGAAUGUUUUUAGCAGCAGAUAGGACAUGCCAGAAGAGGGCUGAAAGGAAGAAUGAUAGGAAAGAGAAGUACAAACAGGAUUCAGUAGAUAGGUCAGACUUCCUUUUAAUCUCAAAAGAAAGAGAAUAGAUCAAAGAUGAUAUUUGUCGAGAAUUUUCCAGGAUUGAUGUGGCACUAGUCUACAGAUUCAGGAAGCCCAAAUUCCAAGAUGGAUAAAUAAAAAAGAAAUCUCGACAUACUAUAAUGAAAUUGCAAAAACAAAAGACAAACUCGAAAGCAUCUGGAGGAAAAAGAUGACCCUAAAAAGGAACAGGAAUGAGACUGACAGUUGACUCUCAACAGUAACAGUGGAAAUCAACAGGCGGAAUAUAUUCUGAAAGAAACCUUCAGCACUGUGUUCUGUCCCUGCUAAAAAUAUCCUGGAAGAAUGAAAGCGUACAUCCUUAGGUUCUAUGGCAAAAAUUCUAAAAGAUGUACUUCAGGCAGAAAGAAAGUGAUUCCAUUUAGAAAGGUCUGAGAUAAGAUAAACUGAGAUAAACUUUAAUUGUAUGCAUAUAUUUAUUGUUAGAAUUAUGACCCUAAUAGUAAGAGCAUGUAACUUCCAAACUAUCACAGAAAACCAGGAUUAGACCUAUAUAAUUUAAUGUGUUAGGGAAGAUUAGUGGUUGUUGUGGAUACCUUAUAUUGCUCAGGAAGAAGGUAGAAAUUCAUCAAUAUUAAACAUUAGAUGGAAUCAAGUAUGCGAGAAAAAUUUAAAGUUAACUUACUAUGAAGCCAUGGUAAUUUAAACAGUGUGAUAUUCUCAGAGACAUGCGGAUCAAGGGAACAGGGGGCACUCAAGCAGGGCACACCUAUCUGGACACUGAGUAGAGAGGCGGCUUCCAAAAGAGUAGGGAAAGGGGGAGUUACACAGUCAGUGGAGUGGGCCCAUGGUUUUCUAUUUUGGGUGGGGAGUAACCAGAGGGUUCAAGACCUGAAUGAAAAAAGUACAAAAUGAAAACUUUACAAAUUAAAAUAAUUGUUUUACCUUAGGUGUUUAAAAUAGAGAAAGCACAAAUCAAAGAAGAUUAAAGAUCAAUAGUAGACUACAUUAAAUUAAACAUUUGAAUAACAAGAUUCCCAAAUAAUAAAAAGACCAGAAAAAAUGUUGAUAAUGCAUAAUAGUAUCCAGUCAACAACCCCGUGGAUAACUGGACAACACACAUCAACAGGCAACUAUCAGAAGAAACCUUUAAUGUCCAGUGGCUUGAUUUCAGGGAAUUACAAAUUUAAAAAGGUGACGGGGCAGGGUGACACUGCUGUAGUCACAGGGAUCACUCCCUCCCUCCCUCUCAAUGCUAUCAAAAGAUGCUCUUUUGGAAAAAUUUCCCAGCAGUUGGGUGGCUUAAAGAAACUCCCAUGGUCAUGUGACUCCAGAUACUUCUGGGGCUGGUUGAAUAAAGUGGAUGUCAACCCUGACUGGCGGCAUCCAAGUGGCUUUGCUGUGGGGCUGUGGUGUGCUACCAGGGCCAGGAGAGUUGGCAGAAGGACAUAACCUCUCAUCAGGCCCUCUAGACAAACAGAAUUCAGGCAGUUGAUGCCACUGCUCUUAAAUCAUGAGCAUUGGAUUUGAUCACAUGGAGGGCUAACAGCAUGCUGGAAAAACAAGGUCAUGCAAGUGUCAUAUAUUGAGCCUGAGUGUUCGGAGAGACUUUGUAAAGUUAAAAAUUUACAUAAAAGCAUGUUGGAAAUAAUUUCAUGUGGAUGUAUCACAGACAGAGGCAUCGUUGCUCUGCAUCACUUAAGAAACCUCAAGUGUUUGCUAUAAAGUGAUCUUCCUGGACUAAGAGAAAAAGAAAACCUUGUCCAAGCCUUUGAGAUAGGACCACCUUCUCUAGAACUAAAAUUAGACUUGAAGUAAAAUAAUAAUAUUCAGUAAGUGUCUUAUUUCAAAUGGAAGCAUCUACAGGUGAAUGGAUAAAGAAGAUGUGGUACUCACCAUAUAAAGAGUGAGAUCUUGCUGUUUGCAACAACAUGGAUGGGCCUAGAGAG